This is a long non-coding RNA of Equus caballus (horse), 2609 nucleotides long. The record is from Ensembl. NCBI's taxonomy places the organism in Eukaryota, Metazoa, Chordata, Mammalia, Perissodactyla, Equidae.
AGCCAAGUAGCCUUACAAGUUGCCACCAUUAUGAAUUAGUAACAUUUUUUUCUUCCUCUUCCAAGUAGUGACAGCUUCUGUGUCUGAAACACUGUCUUAUCAGUGAUAUCUUGGAUAUAAAUAUCCCUUCUCUGUUCUCCCUGUCUCUGGAUUGGGAGCAGGUUUCCUGCCCACUUUGUAUUCUGUGUUAAGGCCUUUUAUUUUGAGAAUAGUUUAUAUUUGUGCUACAAAGAGAAUUAGCGAACAAAUGGCUUUAGUCAUUCAUUCACUCAUAAACCUAUUCAUAAUGUUUCAUUUACUCAUUAAAUUUUUAAAAUAAAUUUAGUACCUGGUCCAUAUUUGGAAUUCAGUUAACUUUUGUGGAAUAAGUGAAUGAAUGGGUGGGGUCCUAGUUGACCAACCUUUGUCUUAGUAGAUUAAGAUUCAUCUACUUAACAGGCAGGAACAAGACAAGAGUUUCAUGAAGAGCCUCAUGAAGCUAUAUAAGUCUGUGAUGGAGAACUGAUGCUAGCAGUGUCAGGAAUAUCACAAAGGGUACCAGUCCAAUGGGGCACAGGGUUACUAUAGUUCUGACAUGAUCCUGCACUUCUCAAGUGUGGAAUUAUGCUUCUAACAAAGCCAAGGACUACAGGAAGAUAUCUGAUGAACUUUAACGUUCCUUUGGGCCUUUUUUAUGAUCAUUUUGAAGAUGCUUCAUUACUGCUACAUAACAUUAAGUAUCAUUAUUGAUUGGUCUGUGCUAUUACCUUACUUGCUAUUAAAUAUUGUAAAUAUCACCCCUGCCACCAUGAGAUCAGCUUUCAGUUCAGAUACCAUUUGGAAAUGGCUCUUCCCAUGAAGAGUUUAUAAUGAUCCUCCGUUCCUCCCAACAUGAUGGAGAGAAAGGCACAAGUGCCCAGUUCAGUGAGAAGUGUUGCUCAGUUGAAAAACAGGCAGGUGUCAUUUCCAGGGCAAUAAAUAUAUAGGUAGCAGUGGUUUUACAAGAUGAAAAUUCCUAUAGACAUCUAUUGCUAAAUGUUGUUCUUGUAUAUGUUUUGGGGAACUGUAUAAGCUGAGAUUGAGAAGUGAGGAUCCAGACACAGAGAAGGGAUCAAUUCCCAAAGAGAAAAGAACAGCAUGGAAAACAGAAACCAGAUGAAGAGGAAUUCAGGAACUAUGCUGAGGCAUGGAAUGUUCUUCUGGGCUACUAUUUCCUUCAAUCAAGUUAAUUUUCAUGCAUUCUUACAACCACGUGGACUCUGAUAUCUACCAGAACACCUGAGAAGACCCUGUCUCCUGGUUUUCUUGCUUUCACCAGCCUUACAAGUAUUUACAGCAUAAAAUAUCUAUGGUCAGUGAAGAGGUGGAAGAGGAAUCUCCAGGCAUCCCAAGCAACAUGAAUAGAGGGAGUUGAUUUGCAGACGCCUACAUUCUCUGCCCUUCUGAAGAGAAAUGAGUGUGCUUACCUCACAAGGUCCAUAUAGCUGCCAAGCAGAGCCAAGGAAACAAUCAACCGAGAGGAAGAUCAGCCUUGAGCUAACUACUGCCAGUCCUCCUCUUUUUGCUGAGGAAGACUGGCCCUGAGCUAACAUCUGUGCCCAUCUUCGUCUGCUUUAUAUGUGGGAAGCCUACCACAGCAUGGCUUUUGCCAAGCGGUGCCAUGUCUGCACCCGGGAUCUGAACCUGCGAACCCCAGGCUGCCAAGAAGCAGAACAUGCAAACUUAACUGCUGUGCCAUGGGGCCGGCCCCGAUGUGCUCCAUUUUUAAGUUGUAAAAUACAAAUAUUAUACAUACUGGGAAUAUAAUAGCUUAAUGGAUUUUCUUAGGAAUAUAGUUUCAUGAAGUGCAUGAAUGGUGUGUAUUGAAUCAGCCUGUCUAGAUAUGGAGACCAGGAAAGCUGAAUCAGCUUCAUUCUAAACCAUCAACAUCUGUGACCUUGGAACAAAUCAAUAGAGUCUAUUCAGCUUGUCUUUGGGAAAUGGAGUUAAUUCAACUUCUAAUUCAAGUCAAUUAAUAUCUAUGGGUCCAUCACGUUGUUCCUGGCUCCAAGGAUACAACAUAUGGUUAGUGUUCUCGUCCUCCAGCAGCCCUCCAUCUAGCUGGGAGACAGAUUUGUACACAUUGAACCAAAGCACAAGUUCAGGCUGUGGCCAUCGCACAAACAAAGCAUUACAGGGAAACAGAUAAUGACUGAAGGUUGAAGGAAGCUGGGGGAGGGGAAAGCUUCACAGAGAAGGGGAAAUUUAAGUUAGACAUUUAAGUAAAAGUGCCUUGUUCCUUCAUUCUUACAAAAUGAAUUCUCAAGAAUCCUAUAAAAUCACAUAUCUUUUUUUCCUGACUGAUCAGAGACUUCCAAUUUCCUAAUAUGUGAACUAUUUUUAUUGCUAUAGAAUUGACGAACUAAAUUGAUGUUUAAAAUAUAAUCAUCUUGUCUUGUAUUUGUUUGUGAAGUCUAGAGUUGGGAAGAAGUAGAUGUUCUCACUUCUCAAACAGGAAAUUUGAGUCAAUACAGACAAUUCAAUGAAAAACCAGAAGAGAAUUGGCACUUCUAUCCCUAGACAGAAAAUACUAUUUUCCCUGGACAUUUUCAUUAUCAAAACAAAACAAAGCAACAACAACAAAAAGCAAG